GUGACCUGCGGAAGGAUCAUUACCUAGAGUUUGUGGGCUUUGCCUGCUAUCUCUUACCCAUGUCUUUUGAGUACCUUACGUUUCCUCGGUGGGUUCGCCCACCGAUUGGACAAAUUUAAACCCUUUGCAGUUGAAAUCAGCGUCUGAAAAAACUUAAUAGUUACAACUUUCAACAACGGAUCUCUUGGUUCUGGCAUCGAUGAAGAACGCAGCGAAAUGCGAUAAGUAGUGUGAAUUGCAGAAUUCAGUGAAUCAUCGAAUCUUUGAACGCACAUUGCGCCCCUUGGUAUUCCAUGGGGCAUGCCUGUUCGAGCGUCAUUUGUACCUUCAAGCUCUGCUUGGUGUUGGGUGUUUGUCUCUUGUAGACUCGCCUUAAAACAAUUGGCAGCCGGCGUAUUGAUUUCGGAGCGCAGUACAUCUCGCGCUUUGCACUCAUAACGACGACGUCCAAAAGUACAUUUUUACACUCUUGACCUCGGAUCAGGUAGGGAUACCCGCUGAACUUAAGCAUAU
This 513-nucleotide ribosomal RNA is filed under the name dothideomycete sp. 7394. RNAcentral describes it as "eukaryotic LSU rRNA". The stretch from base 165 to 318 matches the Rfam family "5.8S ribosomal RNA". The record is from RNAcentral. Lineage: Eukaryota; Fungi; Ascomycota; Dothideomycetes.